GUACCUGGAGCACAAUGGAUAGUGUAUUGGACUUCUAAUCCAAAUGUCGUGGGUUUGAAUCCCACCUGGGAUG
Trichonephila clavipes is the source of this 73-nucleotide non-coding RNA. The record is from the annotation of a GenBank genome assembly. NCBI's taxonomy places the organism in Eukaryota, Metazoa, Arthropoda, Arachnida, Araneae, Nephilidae.